Molecule: ribosomal RNA, 252 nt
Filed under: uncultured bacterium
Lineage: Bacteria
Description: partial 16S ribosomal RNA
Rfam family: Bacterial small subunit ribosomal RNA
Source: RNAcentral
UACGUAGGUCCCGAGCGUUGUCCGGAUUUAUUGGGCGUAACGCGAGCGCAGGUGGUUUAUUAAGUCUGGUGUAAAAGGCAGUGGCUCAACCAUUGUAUGCAUUGGAAACUGGUAGACUUGAGUGCAGGAGAGGAGAGUGGAAUUCCAUGUGUAGCGGUGAAAUGCGUAGAUAUAAGGAAGAACACCAGUGGCGAAGGCGGAUGACUGGACGGCAACUGACGGUGAGGCGCGAAAGCGUGGGGAGCAAACAGG